GACGAACGCUGGCGGCGUGCUUAACACAUGCAAGUCGAACGGAAAGGCCCUGCUUUUGUGGGGUGCUCGAGUGGCGAACGGGUGAGUAACACGUGAGUAACCUGCCCUUGACUUUGGGAUAACUUCAGGAAACUGGGGCUAAUACCGGAUAGGAGCUCCUGCUGCAUGGUGGGGGUUGGAACGUUUCGGCGGUUGGGGAUGGACUCGCGGCUUAUCAGCUUGUUGGUGGGGUAGUGGCUUACCAAGGCUUUGACGGGUAGCCGGCCUGGGAGGGUGACCGGGCACAUUGGGCCUGAGAUACGGCCCAGACGCCUACGGGAGGCAGGGGUGGGGAACAGUGCACAAUGGGCGGAAGGCGGAUGGAGAAACGCCGGGUGCGGGAUGACGGCCUUCGGGUGGUAAACCGCUUUAGCCUGUGACGAAGCGUGAGUGACGGUACUGGGUAAAGAAGCACCGGCUAACUACGU
This 467-nucleotide ribosomal RNA is filed under the name uncultured bacterium. RNAcentral describes it as "partial 16S ribosomal RNA". It matches the Rfam family "Bacterial small subunit ribosomal RNA", at positions 28 to 506 of the family's 1533-position model. The record is from RNAcentral.